Molecule: long non-coding RNA, 774 nt
Organism: Xenia sp. Carnegie-2017
Lineage: Eukaryota; Metazoa; Cnidaria; Anthozoa; Malacalcyonacea; Xeniidae
Exons: 3
Source: RefSeq, a predicted model, not a curated record
AACAAAACUUACAUGGAUAAAAGAUUGAUAUAACAAAAAGGUAUGUGACAUAUAAAGAAGUAAAGCAAGCUUAAUUUGGACGACGAGAUCGACAGAUAUGAAGUCUUACUUCUAAAACAAAGAUGGAAUCAAGAGAAAGCAGAAAUCUUUUUUACAUCAGAAGAGUAAUUAAUGUGGUACAAACGGAACUUGCUCAAUUUUUCAUCAAAGAAUGGAACUCUCGUUACACAUCAACACAUGGAGAAUGGGAUGAUACCAAAAAAAGUGGCAAAAAAUUUUACAAAUUAGAAUCGGGUAGGAAGUUGGAUAAAAACCUACAGUUAAAAUAUCAGGAGGGAGACACAAGUAAAUGGGACUGCACAACAUUAUUCGAUGCCAUACUUUAUUCAAAAUCGAUUAGCGGACAUCUUGAUAAAAAAACAAAGAAUGCUGUUGAUGCACUUCGUGUUGAAAGAAACAAAGAAGCACAUUGGCAUGAAAGCGAAUACUCAGAUGAUGAUUUUGAUGAUAGAGUCAAUAUCAUUGAAAAAUCAUUUCAAGAUUUGAAAUUUUCCCUCGAUGAAAUCAAUAAAAUAAAAAAUCAUCGUAACAGUUUUAAUUCGUUCCAAGUGCUUCCUUCAAAACCCAAUCAUUUUUGUUGAACGCACUGAAUUACAAGAUAAAAUCAUAAACGAUCUUGAAAAAUUAAGGAAUGAUAACAAUAACGAACUGACAUAUUUCUACAUCACUGGUAAUCCUGGCAGUGGUAAAUCUCAACUGGCGAGACAGGUUUGU